UACAGAGGUCUCAAGCGUUGUUCGGAUUCAUUGGGCGUAAAGGGUGCGUAGGCGGCGCGGUAAGUCGGGUGUGAAAUCUCGGGGCUCAACCCCGGAACUGCAUUGGAUACUGCCUUGCUUGAGUACUGGAGAGGGAACUGGAAUUUACGGUGUAGCAGUGAAAUGCGUAGAGAUCGUAAGGAAGGCCAGUGGCGAAGGCGAGUUCCUGGACAGUUACUGACGCUGAGGCACGAAGGCCAGGGGAGCAAACGGG
Molecule: ribosomal RNA, 253 nt
Filed under: uncultured bacterium
Lineage: Bacteria
Description: partial 16S ribosomal RNA
Rfam family: Bacterial small subunit ribosomal RNA
Source: RNAcentral